UGUGCAAGGGGCAGUGACAAAGAGAAUUUUCAGGAAAAGAUAAAAUCACAAACCCCUGCAGGCAUGUGCCAAAGACUGUAUUUUACGUGUUGUGCGGCCACUACCACUUUCUGCAGCCAGGAUACUUUUCAUCAGCCUGAACACAGCUCUGCCCAUAACCACGGAUUCUUUCCCUUUUCCCGCAGCCCUUGGUAACCCCGAAUCCCUCUGAAUUUGCCUAUUCCGCUCAGGAAGGUGGAAUCAUACCCCUCCCUUUUUUUUUUUUUUUUUUUUUACCAGUUUGGCUUAUUUCACAGUUUUCAAGGUCUAUCCGUGUAAUGGCGUAAGUCAAAACCUCGUUCCUUCUAAAGACGAAGUGAUAUUCCAUUGUACGCAUAUACAUCAUUUAUCUGUUUAUCCGUCGACGGGCACACCGCUAGUUUGUCUUCUGCCUGCUGCAAAUAAAUGCUGCUGUGAACACGGUUA
Long non-coding RNA from Prionailurus viverrinus (fishing cat), 465 nucleotides. RefSeq lists it as uncharacterized. NCBI's taxonomy places the organism in Eukaryota, Metazoa, Chordata, Mammalia, Carnivora, Felidae. The record is from RefSeq and is a predicted model, not a curated record. The transcript is spliced from 2 exons.